Molecule: small nucleolar RNA, 90 nt
Organism: Balaenoptera musculus (blue whale)
Lineage: Eukaryota; Metazoa; Chordata; Mammalia; Artiodactyla; Balaenopteridae
Gene: U3
Rfam family: Small nucleolar RNA U3
About the family: Small nucleolar RNAs (snoRNAs) are involved in the processing and modification of rRNA in the nucleolus. There are two main classes of snoRNAs: the box C/D class, and the box H/ACA class. U3 snoRNA is a member of the box C/D class.
Source: Ensembl
AAGGCUAUACUUUCAGGGAUCAUUUCUAUAGUUCACUGCUAGAGAAGUUUCUCUAAGUGCCAAGGAUGUAACGUACAGCAUGAUUGCUGU